CUGUUAUGAACCAGCUGGACAUGGGCCAGAGGCCACCCACUGUCCCACCCUUCCUCUGUGGGGGUCAGGCUCCGGCCAGGGUCAGCUAAAGGUCCUUGGAGAGCCCGAGGAGCAAAGCCCCUGAGUUUAGAGAAGAGGCACGAGUCUGGGGCCGGGGCAGAUGACAGGAGCCUUGGAGACUCUUAGCCAGGGCCUGAGAGGGCACAGGGCGGGAAAGGGGCAGAGACAGGGCCUCAGAGGGUGAGGAGCUGGGUGGGCCAGGGACAAACCUGCACCUGUCACCAGCUGAGGAAACCAGGCCAGAGUCAAGGAGCCAGAUUCCCAGAAAGUCUGGCAAAGCCCGGUGUGUAUUUCGGGCUUGGAUCUGCCAGGGCUACACCUGGCCCCGCCUAACAGCCCUCCUUUGUUGGAACAUUUUCCUUAUCUUUGCUUUCCUGAGGUCUUUUAUUUAAAGCAUGUGGUUUGCUGAGUGACUGAAGGUGGGCCCUUUCCCAGGAGCUUGGUGGAAAGUGUUUCCAGAGACUACCUUCCCAGGUCUGUUUUCUCACCUGAGUGGGGGGUAAAUGCAACCAUGUGGAGUCUAGCGCAGUAGGUGCUCAAUUAAUGGUGAGUUGUUUUUCAGCCUCCUCCCUCCACCUUCCUGAAGGUUCCUUGUCCCUAUAAAGGAAGGAGAACGGCGGGACCCAAAGAUCAAAAGGAGUGUUGGAGCGCCCUCUGCUGGCCAAUGGUCACCAAGGCCCAAGUCAGAAACUGUGGAAGCCUCCAGCCAGGCCAGCUGGGGGCCCCCUGAGGACGGAGCUGUCAGCUUGCUGUCUCAUCUUCUGGGAGAAGGGAACAACCCCUGUCCCUGUGGGGAAGGGCAUCAGCAGCUGCCUGUGCACAUCUGUGUGGCAGGGACGCCACCCACACCUGACCCUCCUGCACUGCUCUGUCCUCCUGGCUGCCAGCCCUUGCCACAGGUUAUGUGCUGGAGGUGAGGUGGGAGGCCAGGGGAGGCUCUGCCCAGGCCUGGGAUGCAGACGCCAUGUCACCAUGUCACCUGCUGGAGUAGCUGCCAUGAGACAUAAUACUUCAUCCUCAGCCUCUAGUUCCCCCGGCAACCUAGUGAGGACAGGUUUCCAUUUCCUCCAAACACUACUUUUCAGGGCCGGUGGGUGACUUGGACCCAGGGCUCCAAGUCCCUUUUGUUCUUCCUUCUGCCUCUCCUGGUGUUGUAGCAUCUCCAUCUCAUCUGGUGCCUGAGCAGAGUUGACUGGGCCCCAGUACCAUGCACACCUGGAGUGACGGGGAACUUAGCACCCCUGAGCCAGGGACCGCCUGGAUUUGUGACUUGGAUCGCCUUGAGGAGGAUGUCAUCCUGCCUGUGGUUUCUCCCACUGCUCAGGAGCAAGGCUAUUCAACCUGCCACCUGGAGAUGUUCCCUGGUAGAACCCCAUCGCUGUCCCUUCUCCUGGGAUCCCAGCAAAGACCAGCGUCGCCAUCAUCCUUGGCACGAUUGGCCCAGCCCCAGGCUUUUAGAUGAGGGUCCAUCCUGAGCCUGCCUGUCACCUCCCGUUGGCUGAUUCCCGAUCGUUGUCUCUGUUCUUUCUUCCUCUGUCACCCUUGCCCCUCUGCUCAGCGUGCCCCUCAGCCCUUUGAAUUACCCCAGUAGCCUCCUAUGGGCCUCCCUGACUCUGGUUUUGUCCCCAGGGCCACCAUCCACUCCACAGCCCACGUGAUUUUCCUAAAAAGCCUCACUGCCAGCUCCAGUGUCCCUGGGGGAUGGUCUCAGUCUGUCUGUGGGAGGCCUCUCAGCGCUGCCCUUCUGCUCUCAGCCCUGGGAGCUGUCCCUCCCCCCUGAUGGCUCUGCCACCUUUGCUUUGCAAAUGUGUGAGCACUUGGUCAGGGAGGGACAGGAGCCCUUUCAGCUGGCCAGGGCCGGGCCUCGGGGAGCAAGCUCAUGUGUCCUGUCUGUACGGGUGGAUGGUCCCCCCAGGAGAUGAGCAAGUGUCCCAGCUCAUGAACUAUGGGUCCAGGCGCACUGACAGUCUCUCUUUCUCUCCUUCAAGUUCCUGGGAGAACACACUGGCGAGUGUGAGCACUGAGUGUGAGCGCUGGCCGAGUGAACCCAGUGAGGCAAGGAACCCAAGUGCCCCCACGGCAGGCUUGACCACCUUCCCAGUGACCCUGCUCCCGAUUCUCAGGGCACCUGGGUUCACCAUGGAUAGUGGACAAUGUCUGUUCAGGACUCCCUUCUCCUAGACCCCCGCCUUCGUAACAUGUGGCAGCCAUUGAUUGGCUCAGGAGAAGGCACCUGGUCUGUUUGGGCCAGCUAUUGCCUUAAUCCUGGCCAGAGCUACCAGGAUGCAGGAUAUGAGAACAGAUCCUUUCCCUGUGGAGUUUUUGAAUCUGGGAUCCAGGGACUAGUGGUGGAUCCCUGUCACGCAUGGAAAGCAGCAGGAAUUAAAACUCAGAAGCUCUUGGAGGCUAUGUGGGUGGAACAUGGGGAUUUCUGCCCUCAGCUGCAGGUGAUAGCUUCCUGAUUUUCUUUUGGGAAGUCCCUCUCUGCCCUUCCUUGUGAUUUGAUGGGACUUUCAGUCCAUCAACUGGACUGGCCAAUCAGAUUCUCUCCUGGGAGUUUGGAGCCUGCAGAGAAACCCAUAGGCAAGGUGGUUGGGCUUGGCUACCUUGCCAUUUCCUCAGUUGAAGCACUAGUGCAGUGAGCAUGCUUAUUCCACUCACUGGGAUUCACCACCUGGUAAUUUAUUUACAUACACAAUUUUUUUAAAAAUAUUUUUUUUGGUGGGGAGGGGUAACUGGAGAUUGAACUCAGGGGCACUCGACCACUAAGCCACAUCCCAGCCCUAUUUUGUAUUUUAUUUAGAGACAGGGUCUCACUGAGUUGCUUAGUGCCUCGCUUUUGCUGAGUCUGGCUUUGAACUCGUGGUCCUCCUGCCUCAGCCUCCCCAAGCCUCUGGGAUUACAGGUGUGUGCCACCGCAUCCAACAUUUUUUUUUUCAUUUACAAGUAACACUUCAUUCAUGCCCCUUUAGCAAAUUCUCCUAAGAGUAAGGGAACCCUCCUCCUAACCAUCACAGGGUUUGGAUAUCUAUUGUUCCUUAAUGAAUCACCCCAGUACUUAGUGGCUUCAAACAAAAGCAGCAAUUAUAGUAUUUAUUUGGGUCCUGUGAUUAGCAGGUGGCUUUCGCCCAGGAUCUCUCCGGGGAUUAUAGUCCAAGUGUCCCCCCUGCACAUAUCUGGUGGCUGAGGCUGCCUGUGGCUGGGGACUUGAGCUGGGCUAUUCACCAGAACACCUUGGAUGGCCUCUUCAUGAGGCCUGGGCUUCCUUACAUCAUGGUAUCUGGGCUCCAAGAGUCAGGAUCUCAAGAAGCAGGAAGUGGAAGGUGCCGGCUUCUUCAGGUCUGGUCCCAAACACUGGCAGUGUCAUUUCUUCUGUAUUCUAUUGGUCAAGAAGUCACAGACCAGGGCUGGGGUUGUGGCUCAGCAGUAGAGUGCUCGCCUGGCAUGUUUGUUCAGGGCGCUGUGUUAGAUCCUUAGCCCCACAUAAAAAUAAAAAUAAAGGUAUUAUGUCUAACUACAACUAAAACAAAAUAUUGAAAAAAAAAAAGAAGUCACAGAUCCCAGAUUUGGGGACUUAGCCCCAUUUCUUGAUUGGAGGAGUGUCAAAGAAUUUGUGUGUUGUGUUUAAAACUGCUGCAUACCCCAUCGAUUUAAUGUUUAUAGAGUAAUAUUACCUAAAACAAGUCCACAUUUAACUUUGCAUUAAUAAUGUUAUUUAUAACUAUUUUUAAAAAUCUAGUCUGCAAUCCAGGAUUAUGCAAUACAUUUAAUUGUCAUUAGUUGUGGGAAACCAACCUUGUACAUGACGGAGUCUCACUCCCCAGCUGGAUGGUGAGGUGCUCAGUCACAGAAAUGUGGCAGAGCUUUCCCCACCCUCUUGGGUUCGAGGGUAGGUGUCUCGUGCAUGGGUGUGUCUUGCUACAGCCCCAUGGGUGAAGCUAUGCUCACCUGUUCCUUUGUAAUAUAACCCCUUGCUCUGUUUAGGAUAGAAUCUUCCAUGGAAGUGCCUUGUGUGUGUCCCCUUCUCUUACUGUGCCCUU
This 4100-nucleotide long non-coding RNA is filed under the name Marmota monax (woodchuck). The record is from RNAcentral. Lineage: Eukaryota; Metazoa; Chordata; Mammalia; Rodentia; Sciuridae.